Long non-coding RNA from Mytilus californianus (California mussel), 521 nucleotides. RefSeq lists it as uncharacterized. The transcript is spliced from 3 exons. Lineage: Eukaryota; Metazoa; Mollusca; Bivalvia; Mytilida; Mytilidae. The record is from RefSeq and is a predicted model, not a curated record.
AUUUACAUUUUUGCGUUUUCACGAUUGCAACAAUGCUCGAAACUCAGAACGUGCAACAUGAAGGCCACUCACUAUCUUGUUAACGAUUGUAGUGGCAGUUUUUCUCGCAGAAUGAAGUCGAUGGAAAAUGUAGACAACGGAAUGGAUAUGCUAUAAACAACCUUAUGACAUGCAGAUCACAACCGUGUACCUUUGCUAUUAUUCUCACCGCUUUUCCCCCUUACUACACACUUUGUACGAAAUCGGUCAACAGAAAAUUUAAUAUCAACUUGAAAACUAACAAAAGUUGUGUCAUACACGUUCAGUUUUCUAGUCCAGAAGUAAUAUCAUUAUAUAGAAGAAAUAACCAAAUAAAUACUAACGGAUGCCAAGCUUUAUCGGUGGUAAUACAAAAUAAUUGUUAACAAGAAAUAUCUGCAUUUUCCCUGGCGUAUUAAAAAAUAAGGUUUUCCUGUAGCUGUUUUAUCUUUUUUUUCUUAGUUGGAGUCUACAUGUUCUAAUAAAAUGACUUGAAAAGCAAA